Molecule: unclassified non-coding RNA, 655 nt
Filed under: Hevea brasiliensis (rubber tree)
Lineage: Eukaryota; Viridiplantae; Streptophyta; Magnoliopsida; Malpighiales; Euphorbiaceae
Source: RNAcentral
AACUGUUUCGAGUUUUCUGCACAGGUUUUGUUUCACAACUUACCUAUUUAUCUGUUUGGCAUUGCAUUUAAAACUGCUUUUUGGAAAGUGCUUUUUCCAAAAUGCAAUUUCUUACUGCCUUUUGAGCUGUUUUAGAUUUAUUACUGCUUUUAAUCAACAUAUUUUACUGGGUUUUUUUUCUCAACAAAAAACUUUAGUAUCAAAGCGAAACAGAUUCUAUGUUAGUAUGCCUGAGUGGAAUACAGAUUAUGUAACUAAACCUGAGUUCGGGUCAUUUUUUGAAUUAUGUGCAUGGGUUUCACCUCCUUUAUUACUUUAUGUCUCUUUCAAUAACCCUAUAUAAAAGUUUUAACUAUAUAUGUUACAUAUUGUGUUUCUGUGAUUUAAAUAACUAAAAGAAAUAGAAAAAAAAAAUUUAACCUCAUUAACACUAUUCAGUAAUGAUUAUCCUGUAAACGUGGUGUUUAAUUCAAAGAGCAUGGUGGUAUUCCCUUGUUGGCAAUAGCAUCUUUGCCUAUUAUUUGUUGUUUAUGAUGAAAAUGUGUUCCAGCUGUAGCUUUUAAAUUCAGAAUUAAUACAGUUUAAUCUCUCUUUUUUCACAACUUUUCCUGUUUCCCAUGCUUCUAAAAUGCAGAGGGAAGGCCUGAUAGAACAG